CUUUACUGUAGCCUGGAAUUGGGUUCGGGCUUUGACUGCGCAGGAUAGGUGGGAGACUAUGAGACAUCCCUUGUGGGGGAUGUGGAGUCAUCAGUGAGAUACCACUCUGUCAAGGCUAGAAUUCUAACUCAUUGCCGUGAUCCGGCAUGGGAACAGUUUCAGGUGGGCAGUUUGACUGGGGCGGUCGCCUCCUAAACGAUAACGGAGGCGCACAAAGGUUCCCUCAGGCUGGUUGGAAAUCAGCCGAAGAGUGUAAAGGCACAAGGGAGCUUGACUGUGAGACUGACAGGUCGAGCAGGGUGGAAACACGGUCUUAGUGAUCCGACGGCACUGAGUGGAAGGGCCGUCGCUCAACGGAUAAAAGUUA
RNAcentral lists this ribosomal RNA (367 nucleotides) under uncultured organism. RNAcentral's name for it is "bacterial LSU rRNA". It matches the Rfam family "Bacterial large subunit ribosomal RNA", at positions 2099 to 2465 of the family's 2925-position model. The record is from RNAcentral.